RNAcentral lists this long non-coding RNA (618 nucleotides) under Rattus norvegicus (Norway rat). Its description in RNAcentral is "long non-coding RNA NONRATT033922". The record is from RNAcentral. Lineage: Eukaryota; Metazoa; Chordata; Mammalia; Rodentia; Muridae.
UGCAAGACCCUGGAGAUCCAGCAGCCAAAAGCAAUCCACGUAGAAAAACCUAGGAAAGGUGACAACGGCUCUAGUUAGCAGCCUCCUGCAGCAAAGACCGAGGUUGGCCACUGGAGCGCAGCACUGAGCCAAGGACACCGGACCUGUGGGGCGUGGUGGCGGAUUGUGUUGUCUUCCCUAUGGAGAUGGGGGCGCCGCUGCCCCACCUACCUCCCCAGGCAGCAAGCCUUCAUUCCUGCCCCGUGCAGAGAGGAGACUGCUGCCCGACCACCGACCACCGGUCACCGGCCACCGUGCUCAGACCUUGGCCCCUCCAGGAGAAAUAGAAGAAAGUCAUUUGCCGAGAUGUCACUUGGAAACCUUUCCCUGAAAAGUUUGGAAGUGGAGAGUUUCCACACACGGUUCAGUGCCUGGACACCUUUUAAGAACCAGUCCUUAAAUAGACAGCUCUUUCAAGAAAGAGUUACUCUCAUAAGUCACUGGUUUGACCUCUGGACCAACAAGCAACGGCAGGAAUUCUUAUUCAUGAUCCUUUCACGAAGCUCGAAGUCACAAUUAAGGUUCAUCCAAGACUGGCUUUCGGAAAGGAAGCAGGUGGCCAGAGUGGAUUUCUCGACA